Molecule: non-coding RNA, 21 nt
Filed under: Arabidopsis thaliana (thale cress)
Lineage: Eukaryota; Viridiplantae; Streptophyta; Magnoliopsida; Brassicales; Brassicaceae
Source: RNAcentral
UCACCACCAAACCCACCCUGA